Molecule: ribosomal RNA, 1302 nt
Filed under: uncultured fungus
Lineage: Eukaryota; Fungi
Description: eukaryotic LSU rRNA
Rfam family: Eukaryotic large subunit ribosomal RNA (bases 650-1302)
Source: RNAcentral
CUUGGUCAUUUAGAGGAAGUAAAAGUCGUAACAAGGUUUCCGUAGGUGAACCUGCGGAAGGAUCAUUAGUGAGUAAGGGUCUUCCAGGCCCGACCUCCAACCCUUUGUUUAAUUACCAUGUUGCUUUGGCGGGCCCGUCUUUAACCGGACCGUCGGAGGGUUUUACCUCUGGCCAGUGCCCGUCAGUAGCCCACUACAAAUACCUUUUUAACCAUGUUAUAUCUGAAAAUAGUUAAAUAAACUAAAACUUUCAACAACGGAUCUCUUGGUUCUGGCAUCGAUGAAGAACGCAGCGAAAUGCGAUAAGUAAUGCGAGUUAAGAAUUAGAACUUUCAACAAAGGAUCUCUUGGUUCUGGCAUCGAUGAAGAACGCAGCGAAAUGCGAUAAGUAAUGCGAAUUGCAGAAUUCAGUGAGUCAUCGAAUCUUUGAACGCACAUUGCGCCCUUUAGUAUUCUGAAGGGCAUGCCUGUUCGAGCGUCAUUAUCACUAAUCAAGCCUGGCUUGCUGUUGGACCUCUUGUCGUUAAAAAUCGACAGGCCCUAAAGAUAAUGGCGGCGUUUUUUGGACCCUAGAUGCAACGAGCUUUCAUUAGCACACGUUUAGUUGGGACCUUUUAACCCGGUCUUUUUUAAACCAAUUUUCUAAGGUUGACCUCGGAUCAGGUAGGAAUACCCGCUGAACUUAAGCAUAUCAAUAAGCGGAGGAAAAGAAACCAACAGGGAUUACCUCAGUAACGGCGAGUGAAGCGGUAAUAGCUCAAAUUUGAAAUCUGGCUCUUUCAGGGUCCGAGUUGUAAUUUGGAGAGGAUGUUUCGGGCACGACUACGGUUUAAAUUUCUUGGAACAGAAUGUCAUAGAGGGUGAGAGUCCCGUCUUGAACCGAUUGCUUCGUCCAUGUGAAACUCCUUCGACGAGUCGAGUUGUUUGGGAAUGCAGCUCAAAAUGGGUGGUAAAUUUCAUCUAAAGCUAAAUAUUGGCCAGAGACCGAUAGCGCACAAGUAGAGUGAUCGAAAGAUGAAAAGCACUUUGAAAAGAGAGUUAAACAGUAUGUGAAAUUGUUGAAAGGGAAGCGCUUGUAAUCAGACUUGAGCUCAACAGUUCCCCCUUCGUUCUCGUUGGGUUAUUCUGUUUUGUCCAGGCCAACAUCAGUUCGAGUGGUUGGUUAAAGACUCUGGGAAUGUAUCUACCCUUCGGGGUCGACUUAUAGCCUAGAGUGUCAUGCAGCCUACUUGGACUGAGGAACGCGCUUCGGCUCGGAUGUUGGCGUAAUGGUUAUAAGCGACCCGUCUUGAAACACGGACC